This 286-nucleotide ribosomal RNA is filed under the name uncultured diatom. Its description in RNAcentral is "partial 18S ribosomal RNA". It matches the Rfam family "Eukaryotic small subunit ribosomal RNA", at positions 598 to 888 of the family's 1831-position model. Lineage: Eukaryota; Bacillariophyta. The record is from RNAcentral.
CGUAUAUUAAAGUUGUUGCAGUUAAAAAGCUCGUAGUUGGAUUUGUGGUUGUCGUUGUCUUUUUCCGUCUUUGACGGGUAUUGGAUUAGCGUCGCCAUCCUUGGGUGGAACUUGUGUGGCAUUAGGUUGUCGUGCAGGGGAUGCCCAUCGUUUACUGUGAAAAAAUUAGAGUGUUCAAAGCAGGCUUAUGCCGUUGAAUAUAUUAGCAUGGAAUAAUAAGAUAGGACCUUGGUACUAUUUUGUUGGUUUGCGCACCGAGGUAAUGAUUAAUAAGGACAGUUGGGGG